UAGACAGAUUAUUGUAUUCGACUAUAUUCACGGUGUAGAAUACGGGAUUACACUAUUUUUAAAUGAAAAGUGAAUCAAUUAACAUAAUAGACUCCU
This 96-nucleotide microRNA precursor is filed under the name Nicotiana attenuata. RNAcentral describes it as "MIR6152 microRNA precursor family". It matches the Rfam family "MIR6152 microRNA precursor family". The record is from Rfam by way of RNAcentral. Lineage: Eukaryota; Viridiplantae; Streptophyta; Magnoliopsida; Solanales; Solanaceae.